RNAcentral lists this small RNA (715 nucleotides) under Homo sapiens (human). RNAcentral's name for it is "chromosome 6 open reading frame 136 (multiple genes)". The record is from RNAcentral. Lineage: Eukaryota; Metazoa; Chordata; Mammalia; Primates; Hominidae.
GCCGGAGGUCGGACUCAGGAGGCUCCUUCUCCACUCCCGGAAGAUCAUGUACCAGCCCAGCCGGGGUGCGGCCCGGCGUCUCGGCCCUUGCCUGCGCGCCUACCAGGCUCGACCCCAGAGGUGAUUUGAAGGGCAGGGGCCGAGAGAUUCGUAGCCCUGCUGCGGCGCCGUCCCGGAGUUCCCCGGCCCAGACCAGACCCGCGGGGCGCCCUCAGCAGCCCGCCCGUCUUGCACUCGGAGAGCGGUCCUGGCAGGAAGGCCGGCCAGUGUGCACCCGGUUCGGGCCCCUGCGCCCGGGCUGGCAAGAUGGCCACGCCCCCAGCAGAGACGGCGCCUCUAGGACACCAUCGGGGACCGAGGACCAGCUUUAUCCAGGGACUCUACCAUUCCCACCCCUUUGGCCCCACUCCACGACAACCACUUCCCCAUCUUCUCCUCUAUUCUGGUCUCCCCUGCCCCCACGCCUUCCCACCCAGCGUCUUCCCCAGGUUCCCCCACUACCUCUCCCUCAGAUCCAGGCCCUCAGCUCAGCAUGGGUGGUUCUCCCUCCAGGAAAGGGGGAGGAGGGACCAGGACCUGAGUUGCAUAGCGGCUGCCUGGAUGGGCUUAGAAGCCUUUUUGAGGGACCUCCCUGCCCCUAUCCUGGGGCUUGGAUACCUUUCCAAGUCCCUGGAACUGCCCACCCUUCCCCUGCCACCCCGUCAGGAGAUCCUAG